GGGGAUGUAGCUCAGUGGUAGAGCGCAUGCUUUGCAUGUAUGAAGUCCUGGGUUCAACCCCCAGCAUCUCCA
Molecule: transfer RNA, 72 nt
Filed under: Megalops atlanticus (tarpon)
Lineage: Eukaryota; Metazoa; Chordata; Actinopteri; Elopiformes; Megalopidae
Rfam family: tRNA
About the family: Transfer RNA (tRNA) molecules are approximately 80 nucleotides in length. Their secondary structure includes four short double-helical elements and three loops (D, anti-codon, and T loops).
Source: Rfam by way of RNAcentral